UGAGUUCGCCAGACAGUCGCCGCUUAAGCAUUGUUUAAGGGGAGGAAAGUCCGGGCUCCAUAGGGUAGAGUGCCAGGUAACGCCUGGGGGGCGCGAGCCUACGGAAAGUGCAGCAGAAAGUAAACCGCCUAAGUCAGUUCUCUGGCCGGUAAGGGUGAAAUGGUGCGGUAAGAGCGCACCGCGCAGCUGGCAACAGUCUGUGGCGAUGGUAAACCCCACUCGGAGCAAAACCAAAUAGGAAUCCUUCGGUGUGACCCGCACUGGAUUCGGGUAGGUUGCUUGAGGUAUGUGGUGACGCAUAUCCUAGAUGAAUGACUGUCCAAGACAGAACCCGGCUUAUCGGCGAACUUUUUAU
RNAcentral lists this RNase P RNA (355 nucleotides) under Oleiphilus messinensis. RNAcentral's name for it is "Bacterial RNase P class A". It matches the Rfam family "Bacterial RNase P class A". From Rfam's summary of the family: Ribonuclease P (RNase P) is a ubiquitous endoribonuclease, found in archaea, bacteria and eukarya as well as chloroplasts and mitochondria. Its best characterised activity is the generation of mature 5'-ends of tRNAs by cleaving the 5'-leader elements of precursor-tRNAs. Cellular RNase Ps are ribonucleoproteins. Lineage: Bacteria; Pseudomonadati; Pseudomonadota; Gammaproteobacteria; Oceanospirillales; Oleiphilaceae. The record is from Rfam by way of RNAcentral.